AGUUCAUGUAAAUGCAGUCCGCUGAUUGGUCGUCUAUUUAAAGUCGGUAAGUAUUGUAUGUUUGCAAGGAUAAAAAGAGAGACGUUCCGAUGGACAUUAUGACCCUGUUUGGUUUUGGCUUCAAGAGAAGGAAUAGGCCAAAGAUGACAAUAGCAUGUUAUGAAAAUAUAUCAGUCAAAUAAAAGAAAGUAUAAUAUAUAUAAUGUUGUCAAGAAUCUGGAAAACAGCACCUUUUGUAGUUCACAUUUCAAAGCCCACGACCACGUGGUGUCCAGAGAAUGAAGGUCAAUAACGAAAGUAGAAUAUUGUCGACCACAAAUAAUUUUUAAAAAUAUCUUUAGUUCAAAAGGAUUUUAGUUUACUGCUUACUGAACAGUUAACAAAUAAGAAAAAAUAAAACGACAUAGCUUGACAACAUGUUUGAAAUACGUGUACAAGUCUUAUGAGAAAAAUUGGGGUCGAUCAUUUGUCACUAUAGUCGCCGUCACGUAAAAUUGGCACCAUGUUUUUUGUCAAAAUUUUCUUAAAUAUCGACCGCGUUUACUAAGUUAUCGGUUAUUCAUUAGCUUGGAACUACCUCAACUGUCCAAAUAUUCCACUACUGUCCUAAAACCUUUUAUUGAUGUUUGCAACUGUAUAUCACUAACACCUAUCACAAUAAUAAAAUAAACCAAUUCACCAGAUAUUGUUAUAGAUAUAGGUGGACAUAACAAUCAUUGUUAUUACCUGGAAGUGUUGUCUAGGCGAGUUUCCACGUGCUCUCCAUUUUUCUUGUGUCUUUCUCGGCGACUUUUGUCAUCUUACGUAAAAGCCGCGCGCAGGGAAAUUGUAUCAUCAAAAUGACAAUAUGAUAUACAACCGGAAGUGUACGAGAUGUUCCAUAGGAAAAAGGGAUCCUCAAUAGAAACAAGAUGGCGUUUUUACAAUGAGUAAAAUAAUAACCUUAGAAAAAUGUGAAGGUCAGGAUUUUAUACAGUGCAUAAACAGUACACUCAAAUACAGGUAGAGACACGUCAAAAUGACUAUUUGAACAGGAUUCUUAUUCCGCUGAAAUGACAAACCAUGAUCUUUAGUAAACGCGGUCGAUAUUUAAGAAAAUUUUGACAAAAAACAUGGUGCCAAUUUUACGUGACGGCGACUAUAAGUACGUACGCAAAUAAAUCGAUCAAGAUAUUUAAUAAAUUCGAUUAUUAUUGAAAUAAAAUUGUAAUAUUUCACCUAUUAUUUCACAGGCACUUGACUGUGUAUUAUUUACAUAUAUUCAAGAACAGAC
RNAcentral lists this long non-coding RNA (1273 nucleotides) under Mytilus galloprovincialis (Mediterranean mussel). The record is from RNAcentral. Lineage: Eukaryota; Metazoa; Mollusca; Bivalvia; Mytilida; Mytilidae.